AUGCAACGCGAAGAACCUUAACCUGGUCUUGACAUCCCGGAGACCCUUAGGAAACUAGGGGGUGCUUCCAUCUGGAAGAAUCUGGAGACAGGUGCUGCAUGGCUGUCGUCAGCUCGUGUCGUGAGAUGUUGGGUUAAGUCCCGCACGAGCGCAACCCUUGCCUUUAGUUGCCAGCAGUUCGGCUGGGCACUCUAAAGGGACUGCCGGUGUUAAACCGGAGGAAGGUGGGGAUGACGUCAAGUCCUCAUGGCCUUUAUGACCAGGGCUACACACGUACUACAAUGGCCGAUACAAAGGGCAGCGACACUGCGAGGUGAAGCCAAUCCCGUAAAAUCGGUCUCAGUCCGGAUUGGAGUCUGCAACUCGACUCCAUGAAGUUGGAAUCGCUAGUAAUCGUGGAUCAGCAUGCCACGGUGAAUACGUUCCCGGGCCUU
RNAcentral lists this ribosomal RNA (434 nucleotides) under uncultured Desulfobulbus sp. RNAcentral's name for it is "bacterial SSU rRNA". It matches the Rfam family "Bacterial small subunit ribosomal RNA", at positions 954 to 1382 of the family's 1533-position model. The record is from RNAcentral. Lineage: Bacteria; Pseudomonadati; Thermodesulfobacteriota; Desulfobulbia; Desulfobulbales; Desulfobulbaceae.